ACAGCAGACAAGAAGCAAAACAUAAUAAUCCUGCAAAGGAAAAUCCUCUACUGGGCCAGCACGGUAGAAUCAUUUAUAAAAGGGCCAUACCCUUGGCAUAUGGAAGGCUAGGUGUUGAAUUGGAGCUGCAGCUGCAGGCCUACACCACAGCCAAAGCAAUGAAGGAUCUGAGCCUCGUGUGUGACUUAUGCCACAGCUCACAGCAACAUUGGAUCCUCAACCCACUGAGUGAGGCCAGGACCAACCUUCAUCCUCAUGGAUACUAGUUGGGUUUUUAACCUGCUGAGCCACAAGGGGAGCUCUCUGGAAGACUUCUAUUGAGUACUUCUAUGAGUGGAUGAAGGAGAGCCCAACUCAGAGGAGCUGUCCUCCAGGAUGGAGAAUGGAGGAGCUUGAAUUCUUAGAUGCUGAUGAGAGAUGGAAGACACAGAUGAGAGAAGUGAGCCCUGAUGGAACAAGGCUGUGGAGAAGGAAGGCGUGAAGGGAUGGAAGGUGCAGGUUCAUCGAACGGGAAGAGAUGUACUAUUUCUCUGCCUCUGAUGGGAAGGAAGUGAAAUAAACAUGGAUACAGCUAGGUUUGUGGUGAUGGUGGCAGUGAUGGAGUAUUGUUUAGCUAGUAAAGGCAAAUUGCUUCCAUUUUCUUGCUGAAUGUAAAAGCAAUUCUUCGAGGGUGAGGAUGCUAGGAGGUGAAUCUUUCCCAUGUGACAUAUUAAGGUUUGGAUGGGACUACUUCCCCCACACCCAAUUAGGAAAUAAUGCUGUAUCAAGCUGAAUCCUUACUCUGAUGAUUUUAAGGUGAACAAAAUAUCAGACUUACUCUUUUACAGUUAAUUUUUGAUGCAAUUUUGCUUGUAGGAAAGAAUCCUGCUGACUUACAAUUCUUUUACUCAAACUGUUGAUGUGUAACCCUUCUCAUAGCAGUUGAGGUCUCUCCAGAUUUGGAGGACUUCACUGUUUUCACCUCCCUUUUUGGUUACAGUGAGGUAGAGAAAACCAACAAGUCUUGAGUGUCUGUGUAUAAUUCUUCAUUGUGAGUCAAUCAGCUGCCUUAUCUGGGGUGUUGCGAAUCCCAGGGGCUUUGGGGCUCUGCAUCAAUCUGUUUAAAUUUGAGAACAGGGAGGAUUUGGGGGGCUACUGAAUGGGCUCGUGUGUGGAUGUGGCACGAUGGGGCUGAAGGCUCAUAGCCUCUCCUGUGGUGUGAUCUACUGAUGUCUGUGCCCCAGACAUUCACUCCUACCUGUUAGUGUCUUAAGCAUGACCCUUGCAACUCUGCUGCCCUCAUUCUUUUCUAGUGUGACCCCUUUCUUCUGAACCACUCUCUGCCAAGGAUUCACAACAGAAUAUUAGGACUAAACAUGGAGUAGUCAACUGCAUAUUUUCCUCAUCACUCUGGGGUUCAAAAAAAAAAAAAAAAAAAAAAA
Molecule: long non-coding RNA, 1421 nt
Filed under: Sus scrofa (pig)
Lineage: Eukaryota; Metazoa; Chordata; Mammalia; Artiodactyla; Suidae
Description: lncRNA (ENSSSCG00025024181.1)
Source: RNAcentral